This is an RNA transcript of Bicyclus anynana (squinting bush brown), 8807 nucleotides long. It is a transcript of the gene named myotubularin-related protein 10-B, with no coding region annotated. The transcript has 12 exons. NCBI's taxonomy places the organism in Eukaryota, Metazoa, Arthropoda, Insecta, Lepidoptera, Nymphalidae. The record is from RefSeq and is a predicted model, not a curated record.
UCUUCAUAGCUGUCGUUGCGUUGAGAGAUUCACAAAUUAAAUUUUGCUAAAUAAAAAUAAUAUCCUACAACUAUCCGUAGAAAUGGUACAUCCUGAUUUAAUGGCAUUUAAAUAGCGUAAUGCCAAUUUAUGCCAUGUUGCAAAAAUGAUUAAUAGUGGACAAGGACAAAAUCGAUGAGUGUAAAGCUAUUUGGAGUGAUGUUAUCGAAUACAUGUGAAAUAAUCGCUAAUCAUGUGAAUUAUUGCUAACAUAACACCUUAUCGACGUCCCCUGCACUCGGUUUUAGUAUAUUUGUACAGUACAAAUCCAAAUAUUCUGGUGAAACCUAAAGUGUGUCAACAACACUCUAAGCCAUAUUGGUCAAAAUGAAUGAAAAGGUUGUGCCCAAUUUCACGAGUUACAUCAACGUACUGCCAAUGAACAAUGGUGACAAAAAUGGAUCAUUGCAAGAGUUGAAACCCAAACUAUUAAAUGGCGAGCAAGUGGUGGGUGUGGCGGAGAGCGUGGUGCUGCUGACGCCACUGAGCGAGCGCGAGCGCGGACGCUUCGGCUCGCUGUUCGUCACCAACUACAAGCUCACCUUCGUGCCCAUCGACGCCUCCGUCAGUGACGAAUAUGGUCAGCGCAACCAGCUGGUGGGCGCGUUCGACGUGCCGCUCACGGGCGUGGGCGCGCUGUGGCAGACGGACGGCGGGCUCACGCGCCGCAGGAGGCUCGUGCCGCGCUCCGACGUGCCCCCCAAGCUGAAGGGGUUGCAGGUUGUUUGCAAGAAUAUGAAAGUGCUGUCAUUCAACUUCACCAACUCCCCCAUCGGCAACGGCAGACAGGUCGCCAUAGCGCUGCUGCACCACGCAUUCCCCAAACGACACGACUUACUGUUCGCGUUCGAGUACAGAGAGCCAUACUACCCCACUCUCCCCUCAGAUUUAAACAUGUUCCAACGACCUGGCGACUGGAAGAGAGAGUUGGAGAGGUGUGAAUGCCCUCAUUGGAGAAUAACAUGUAUAAAUGGAACUUCGGAUGCCUUCAUGCUGACCGCAGGGGAGACCUUGAUAGUGCCCAGUUCGGUAUUGGAUUAUAAUCUGAUAGAGAGUGCGAGACACUUCAGGUCGGGGAGGGUUCCCGUUUGGGUGUGGGGGCGGUCGGACGGUGCAGCCUUGUUGAGGAGUGGGGAGUUGUUGCAGACGGAGCAAUCCGCUACUGCGGAGAGCGUGCUGUUAGAACAGGUCCGCCGCUCGCACCCCAAGCUAAAACCUCCACACGUGCUGUACCUGUGUGGGAACAGCUUCACCAACACAAAUAACUCGCUCACCCUACCGUCCCUGAGUACACUGAACUCGUCGUACAAGAAACUUGUUGACCUGUGCACACCUACCACCUUAUCUGGAUUUUGGAUCCAAGACUCGCAGUACUACUCUAUCCUGGAGUCGUCCCGCUGGCUGCGCUACGUGGCCAACUGCAUCGCCUUCGCUGACGACGCCGCCGCGCACCUCGUCAACAGCCAGACCGUCGUGUUGCAGGAAGGUGAUGGAGUGGACUACAGCGCAGUAGUGUCGUGCCUCGUUCAGCUGCUGCUCGACCCGCACUACCGCACCAUAGCGGGCUUCCAGUCGCUCGUGCAGAAGGAGUGGAUAGCGCUGGGACACCCCUUCUGUGACAGGUUCGGUCUCCCCAGGCCGGGCAACACCAAGGAGGAGUCGGAGAGGGAGCCCACGGUGCAGGCGGCGCCCGUGUUCCUGCUGUUCCUGGACUGCGUGUGGCAGCUGCAGCGGCAGUUCCCGGCCGCGUGCCAGUUCACGGAGACGUACCUCACCACGCUGUGGGACUGCGCGCACAACCACCUGUUCGACACCUUCCUGUUCAACUGCCCCAGGGACAGGGAGUUGGCGGUGGCCAAGAACUUCGUAGCUCGUCCGCUGUGGGACUGGGGCGAGCAGUUCUCGGAGCAGGACGUGGCGCUGUUCUACAACCCGCUGUUCGCGCCGCCCGCUCCCGCGCACCACAGGCUGUCACAAAUAUCAGCGAGUGGGCGGUGGGCAGCCAGCAGUCGGCUGGAGCCGUGCGCGUCGGUGGCGGGCAUGGAGCUGUGGUCGCAGUGCUACGAGCGCUGGCUGCCGCCGCUGGACGCGCCGCGCGCCGGCCCCGUGCAGUACUACCUGCACCACUGCGCGGUCAAGGCGCAGGUGAGAUGUGUGCACUUGCAGCACUAGUGUCGCAGUGCUACGAGCGCUGGCUGCCGCCGCUGGACGCGCCGCGCGCCGGCCCCGUGCAGUACUACCUGCACCACUGCGCGGUCAAGGCGCAGGUGAGAUGUGUGCACUUGCAGCACUAGUGUCGCAGUGCUACGAGCGCUGGCUGCCGCCGCUGGACGCGCCGCGCGCCGGCCCCGUGCAGUACUACCUGCACCACUGCGCGGUCAAGGCGCAGGUGAGAUGUGUGCACUUGCAGCACUAGUGUCGCAGUGCUACGAGCGCUGGCUGCCGCCGCUGGACGCGCCGCGCGCCGGCCCCGUGCAGUACUACCUGCACCACUGCGCGGUCAAGGCGCAGGUGAGAUGUGUGCACUUGCAGCACUAGUGUCGCAGUGCUACGAGCGCUGGCUGCCGCCGCUGGACGCGCCGCGCGCCGGCCCCGUGCAGUACUACCUGCACCACUGCGCGGUCAAGGCGCAGAUACAAAAGCUGAACGACAAGUUGUCCACAAUGUCCAUAUUGACGCGGCACUCGAACGGCGACGCCGACCCGAACGAGCUGCCCCCCACCCCCGCCGUCACCCGCUUCUACCCCUUCAGCCUCAGAAGCAGCGACACCGUCACCAGGAGCCUGGACUCCAUGCAAGUCAGUCUCAUAGACGCGAGCCAGUUGUUGGAUUCGCAAUCACUGUUGAAUGCGCCGGAUUAAAAAUAAUGUGCUUUUGUAUAUAAUAUUAUAUAAUUUGUCAUUUUGUGAAUGUUUUCAAUGACAUGUCUGAUAUCAAAGCUUUUUUACUAUUAGAUAUAUCGUUAACGCGUCGAAAAUGAGGCGAACAAAGUUGGCUAAUUGUUUUAAUUUCAUUUAGUCGCAUACAAAUAAUACGGAGUAGCUAAAUUCGGAUCAUUUUAAUUGUUUUAUAGGCACGUAACAUAUCUAAUAGCAUAAAAUCGUGGUCUGAUAUGACCUAAGAAGAGGUCAUACAUAAAAUAAUAUAUACUCAGAGGCACAAUUAUCCGCCCACUUUAAUAUACUCGCGUCAUAUUAUAGAAGGCGGAUAAUUGUGCCUCUAAGUAUAGUUAACAAUAUUUGUAGGCAAACCAAGCAAGUUCUCGUCCACGCAAUACAGGGGUGCGGUGACCAUAGCCUAAAAUCCAUAUACUUGAAAAUAUGGAUAUAUAAACUUUGACCGAAUUGUUUUGCUAGCAGAGGCCCCGCGGUUUCAACCGCGUAGUUCCCGUUCUCAUGGGAAUACAGUGAUAAAAUACAGAAUAUCUUGGUAUAUAUUUUAUGGUCUAUAUUAGUGAAUAUUUAUAUUUCUGGAUGACCAUGUGUGCCAAAUACGCACAAAAUUACAGUGUUUUAAGCGGCUACACAUGUAGUUAUUAAAAAAUGGCCAUUAGUUAGUCAUAAAGUUAAUCUAUUUCAAUUCAAAAUAAUCUUGAAUAAAAGAAGUAUUUGGCUUUGGCUUUUUACCUAAAAAAAUAGGUAUAAAAUAUACAUUUAUUUAGCAGCUAAAUGUAUGAUGUUUUAGUGGGCGUCCAAUAAAAAAUCAAAAUCAAAAAAUCAUUUAUUUCAAGUAGGCUCAGUUUACAAGCACUUUUGACACGUCAGUUGACUAUUUGUAAAGAUUCUACUAUAAUAUAAUGAAUAGAUAGAAUCAUUAGAAUGAAUAUGCAGUUGUCAAGUAGUCAUUUUAGAUCAAUACAAUAUACAAAGUAUUGACUUAUGGUUAUGGUGGUAUUAGAGCAAUUUCACCCUCAUAUUUCCCAUUACUACAGGGAUAAUACAAUAUAUACAGGGAUAAUAUAUAGCAUAUGUUACUCCCUGAUAAUGUAGCUUUCUACUGGUAAACGAAUUUUUCAAAUCAGUCCAGUAGUUUUGAAUUUAUUCGUUACAUACAAAAAUGUAAACUUUCCUCUUUAUAAUAUUAGUGUAACAUGACAUGCUUAUACUAUAAGAAAAUAGCAAUUUCGUGCUAAUUGGAUUUUCAUUGUAAAAUAGCGAUUUUAAUAAAGUUGAAUUAUUGUUGUCAGUGAAUGGAGAACUAAAAAUUUGAAGUUAAUUAUGUUAACAUUCAGCCUUAAAUAGUAAAUAAAUAAAGGACUGAUAUUUUUUUUUGGCAUGGAUAAGCGGCCAUUAUGAAUGCUAAUAAUAAUAUUGUAAGCCUCAAAACUAUUUAUCGGAUACCUGUGAUUUAAAUUGACUUAACCCUUGUGUCGUUGUGUGGUUGCAUAAAGAUACAUUUUAUGUAUGCGGGGACAAUUAUUAUUGUAUAUAGUUGUUGAAAUAAUUUUGUUAUAGUCACAGACUAAAGGAAAAAAAUAGACGAAACAUUUAUUUUAUUAAAAAUGAGGACAGUGCUUCUUACUAGCGACACAAGUCGUGUGAAGAUCGUAUGAAUUACUUUUACGUUUUUUACUUACACUUGGAGAAAAUAUAUAUUAAAAUAUUAGCUUCAAUCGUUUUACAAACAAUUUAUUGACAACUAUUAAGUCAUCUGGUUAUUUUAUUCCUUUAGUCUAAAAGUAAUAUAUACGUCUAAAAUAAGACACAUUUUAAAAGUGACAAUGGUGGUAAUUUAUAGAAAAAUUCUAAACUAAAAUUAUUUUGACAUCUGUAACAUUUGCUUUUACAGCUGUGUUUUAGAUUAGAAUUUAUGCUGUACAUAAAUUAGCACCAAUAUUAUUAAUAUAUAAUCAAUACAUUGAUAUGUGUUAAAAACGAAAUUAAUAGUAUAAUAACUAAGCCAUUGAAAUGAAAAGUAUCAUUCAUAGAUUCUAAUAUAUUUUGUUCAAUACACACACAUCAUUAUUACGUAUAUUGAUGUGUGAAUAGAUACGAGUAAAUACUUGUUGUAUUAUGUAAAUAUUUAGGAAACUUGAUAGGUAUAGUGUUAAGGAAUUCAUGGAAAUGUAAUAUAUUUUAUUAUCAUUUAGAUUAUAGAACAAAGUACCGAUAUAAAAUAUAAAUAUAGCUAUAUUAUUAUAAAUCGUACUUUUAUUUAAUUAGUUGAAAAGUUUGUAGUUUACUUUUUCUCUAUCUUGUGUUUUGCACAAACUAUUACUAUAUUGCUAUUGUGGAAUUUAUAAAUGUGGUGGGCCAAAUCUGAAACUACAAAAUUUAUUGAAGUCUCAAAGGAGCGGAAAAAUUCUUGAAACUUUUUGAAUAAAAAAAAAUAUUUCAAUUUUUGAGAGAAGAAUAAAACCUAUAUUAAUACGGAAAAGUGGAUCUCUAAAGUAUUUUUUGAUAUUUUAUCUUAUGUCAGAUUUGUCUCAUCAUGGGAAAAAGUAAUCCUGUAUGAUGCUUUUAUUUAAAUAAUUUUGUUGUAUUUUCAUGAGCUAUACAAGCCUAGACGCUUUAUCUCAUACACUUAUUUUUGUUUUAGUUUUAAUGAAAAUUCAGCCGUUUCUAGUUAUCUAGCUAUAAAGCUCUAUCGGUAAGUUAAACGACAUUGGUAUUUUAAUUCGAUUUCGUAGAAAGAGGAGGUUUUUGAUUCAUAAGAUAUUAAGCGGUUUGAAAAAAAAUGUUUUGAAUUUCCUACGUUAUGGCUAGGUACAUAUUGAUAUAUGAGAGGUAACAGAUAAUUUAAAUUAAAUGUAAAUAUUUUAUGCCGGGUCUUCAAAACAUUUACUUGUUGUACUUGUGUGUUUACCACCGUAAUCUAAACUUUAAUGUUUGAACAAAUUUUUAUGCUAAAUGCUAUGAAUAAGCAAGAUGACUCUGGUGUUUGGGAUAUUUCAAUUCUAUCAUGUGGUAAAACAUGACAAAACACUGCUAAUUUUUAUGCUAAAUGCUAUGAAUAAGCAAGAUGACUCUGAUGUUUGGGAUAUUUCAAUUCUAUCAUGUGGUAAAACAUGACUGAUGAGAGUACUUGACGCUUUUGUCUAUUGAACUUGUCGUUUCUUUUACUUAGAAUUUGCCAAAAUUAAGUUUUAUUUAUUGAAAUGUCAUUUGAAAUCUAUAUUUGGAACACUACUUUUGUGUUAAUUUUGUACGAUCUCUUUCGGAUACAUAAUCAACGUUGCUGAAUAACUUACCGAUAGUACAGGCAAAUGUAACCUAUUUGUUUAUUUUGUACAAGUGUAUAGUUGACCGAGGCACCGCAAGAAACUUUAGUUGACGGCAGCGUUACUUGCGGCAGUCUAAGUUCAACCUUUAUGAUUAAAUAUACGUAAGACCCUUUGCGCACAUUUUAAAAAAAGUGUUUUAAUUAUUAAUUACUUUCAGAACUUGUGGCUUAUAAAUUUAUACAAGUGUUGCCAUCUAUGAACCGAAUAAGAACAAUUCAAGGUCAUUUCAUCAAAUUUCAUAACCCACCUCGACGCAUAUACUUCCGUUCGUCCCAACGGAUAAGGGAUUAAUCUCAAACUUAAAGAUGAAAAGAAAAAAUAUUAAUAAUAUCUAUACUACCAAUAGUUGUAUAAACUUCACAAAUUAAAAUGUUUGUAAACACUAAAAUGUGUGCAAAGGCCCUUACCGUUGUUCUGUUACCACACCUUAUGAAUUAUUUAAGAUUUUAAGCUAUAAACCUCAAUGUAUAAGUUGCAAAAAGUCCAUGUGAAUAACUAAGAAUGUAAUAAACAUAGACUUUUUUGAUAUAACAAACUCAGCACCAAAUUCUCUUUAUUUAUCCGCAAUGUGAAUACACUUACUUUUAAUUACUUUAAUAACUAGGACCAAAACUAAUUUUGGGUUAAACAAAACAAUAAACCAAAAUCUAAACUUUAAUUGUUACUUGCACAUAAUGUUUUGUUGUACAUAUGGCAGCUAUUUGUUUGUAAAUUACAUAAUUAACUUUAAUAUAAGUGAUAGUAUAUUUAUUAUCUUUUUUCAAUAGACUUCUCGCUUUCAUAAUUUCAUAUUAUUCAGUAGUAAUCUGAAUUAUUCACACAAAUUAGGAUCUAGCCAUCGGAUUAAAACUGUGCCCCAAUAAACUUGAGCACAGUUUCAUGUGCCGUCUACCUUUUUUUGUUAGUCUAUGGCUUCAAGAUAUCGAUCUUUUAUCCCUGACCCUGAAUGUUAUAUAAUCUAUAUUUAUUGGCAGAUAACAUGUUCAAAUAUAUCUAAUAAUAUUGCCAUUAUUAUUCAUAAAGUCUGUAACGUUUUUGUUUUAAAUUGACAAUGUCAAUUGAUAGCUGAAAUUUGUACCUGAGAGGUAUAUAAAAAUUAUGUCAAAACACAAUCUUAUGAAGAUGGGAUAAUGCAAGGAGUGUACAGCUCGUGCGGGUUUACUUGACACCUGGCUCGAAUGGUGUUUCUAUUAUGCUUGGUAGCCAGGUUAAUGCGCACGAUUUUUAUAUAAUCCAUAUACACAUAGAUAAACUGCCUACCCUAAACUUUACAGAAUUUUGUAUGAUUCUAUAUUAUGUAUAUCUAAUUAAGUGUCCACACUAAUCAAAAGACCUGCACGUCGCAUGCAUUCAUUGUAUGUUUAGUAGAGUGGACGUAAGUUAUAUCUGAAAUAGAUAUAUUUUUUUUAAUUUGCACUGUUUUGUGUUGUUUCAAUUUCUAACAGCUGAUGUAGGUCUGGUGGUAGUACAUUCCUGAGCGAGCUCUCCAAUUUAGAGUAGUGCUGAAACAUCGUACACUAUGAGUACAUAAAUUAUUAUAUUGAUGCAAGUAGAAAAUAUAAAUUCUAGAGAAAAAAAAAUUAAAAUUCUACUUGGUCACGAAACCUGCCAAUAAUAAUAGUUUUAAAAAUUAUUGUGCAAAAGUUUAGACAUAUAAUUGUAAUAUUUUUGUAGUUCUAAAAUAUCGGUUAGUUAACAUACGUUCGGCGUGUUUAAAUUAAACCUUAAUAAUUACAUAUUUCUGUGUAUCUGUCGGUCAAAUGAUAUACAUUUUUAAUAUGUUGGGUUGGUUGGGAAAGUUAUUCAUACAUACGUCAUGCGUUUGUUAUGACAUCUUUAAUAUUUUAAAGCGUGUUUUUUAUGAUUAAUUUUUAAAAGGAAAAAAAAAUGUAUCUGAUCGAUUCUGCACAGAUUUAUGUAGUCUUUGGUUUACUUUGUACCACAUAAAAACAAAAUAUUGUAAUCUGGGGGCACGGCAGUGAUGCCGCCAAGAUUCAGUGCGAUCUGUUUACGAACAGCGCUUACAACUACAGUGCAGACUAUUGUGCCAUCGACAUUGACUUGUCAAUGAACAAAUUCAGUGUAAUCCCCUUCCUGUAAGAAAGAUAGAAACUGCACGAUAUCUUGAUAAAACAAAUCAUUAAUCAGAAACUUUUUAGUUAGUUUAUAAAUUCGAUGCAGUUUCAACUUUCAUGAUGGAAAGUUAUUAGUCCCUGGGAGGACCAUAGACAAAUCCGUUAUUUUUCUUUUACUCAACGACAAGUUAGCGUCUAUGAUCCAUAGAUUAUAUUUUCAAAAUUAGCGCGCUACAAUCGUAAAUAACCACAAGGCACAACAAGCGAGAUAUUGCGGCGUGUCUAUUGCUAACUUGUGGUUGAUUAAAAUGAAUAGCACUUCCAUAGUAUUAUAAGAGCCCAGUUUAAAAAUAGAAAAAUGAAUAGAUGUAUCGCCUCGACUGUGUUUUAAAAUUCUGUUGUUGAGUGUACCUGACAACGCGAAUUACAUAAAUGUUCAAAAUGAGAGAAAUAAAACGAAAUACCCUCAA